UUAGCUAAAUUAUUAUUAUUAUUAUAUUGUUUUAUAUUUAUUUUAAUAAAGUAGCUUUUUUUUUAUUAAUUUUAUUGAAAAAAUAGUUUUUAUUAUAGUUUAUGAGUACUGUGAAGGAAUUAAUUGUUUUUAUUGAAAGGAGAAUUGAUUUGUUGUACCUUGUGUAUCAGGGUUAGUUUAAUUAAUUUUAAGUAUUUUAAUUUUCCCGAAUUUAGAAGAUCUAUGUUUUUGUAUUUUUUAUUGUUUUAUAAAUAUUAAUUACAAAUUUAUUGAAGUGAAAUGCUAUACGAUUCUAGUUAUAUCUGGUUACCUAAGAAAUAAAUUUAAUUUAUUUUUUAUUUAAUAAUUUUUUUACUUAUUAAUUAAUUAUUAUUAAAGUUAUAUAAUUAGUGGGAUGAGCUAUUAAUUUUAUUUAUAUAAUUGGUUUUAAUAAAUUUUAGUACUUGAAUUAAAGGUUUUUAUUUUUAGUGUGUUGCAACUAACUAAAUUAAAUAUUUAUUAUUUAUAUUUUAUUUAUAUUUUUUAUUAGGUUAAAUUUUUUAAUGUAAUUAGUUUUGUAAUUAUGAUUAAAUUAGUAAAUUUUUAUGUUUUUAUUAAUUAAUAAUUUUAGUUAAUAAAAAGGAAUUCGGCAAAUUGUUUUCUACCUGUUUAUUAAAAACAUGGCCUUGAGAUUAUAAUUUUAGGUCUGGCCUGCCCAAUGAAUUAUUUUAAUGGCCGCGGUAUUUUGACUGUGCUAAGGUAGCAUAAUCAUUAGUUUUUUAAUUGAAAGCUGGAAUGAAGGGUUGGAUGAGAAAAAUACUGUCUCUUUAUUAAAUUUUGAAUUUUAUUUUUAAGUUAAAAAGCUUAAAUUUAUAAGGAAGACGAGAAGACCCUAUAGAGUUUUAGAUUAUUUUUAUAUAUUUAAUUUUUAGAAUUUUAAUUUUUAUUUGAGUGAUUUUUAAUUGGGGUGAUUAAAAAAUUUAAUUAACUUUUUUUAUAAUAUACAUUUGUUUGUGGGUGUUUGAUCCUUUAUUUUGAUUAAAAGAAUAAAUUACCUUAGGGAUAACAGCGUAAUUUUUUUUGAGAGUUCUUAUCGAAAAAAGAGUUUGCGACCUCGAUGUUGGAUUAAAAUUUUACCUUGGUGGAGAAGUUAAGGUUUUAGGUCUGUUCGACCUUUAAAAUUUUACAUGAUCUGAGUUUAAACCGGUGUGAGCCAGGUUGGUUUCUAUCUCUUUAAAUAUAAAAUUUUUUAGUACGAAAGGACCAGGAAUU
This 1251-nucleotide ribosomal RNA is filed under the name Pityophthorus pubescens. RNAcentral describes it as "16S ribosomal RNA". The stretch from base 1041 to 1199 matches the Rfam family "Archaeal large subunit ribosomal RNA", at positions 2542 to 2701 of the family's 2987-position model. The record is from RNAcentral. Lineage: Eukaryota; Metazoa; Arthropoda; Insecta; Coleoptera; Curculionidae.